This 307-nucleotide long non-coding RNA is filed under the name Mytilus galloprovincialis (Mediterranean mussel). The record is from RNAcentral. Lineage: Eukaryota; Metazoa; Mollusca; Bivalvia; Mytilida; Mytilidae.
GGACUCUAAAGUGCGAUGGUACUCUAAAGUGCGAUGGUAACGCUAAAGUGCGAUGGUCUACGCUAAAGUACGAUGGUGUCUCACGCUAAAGUACGAUGGUUGCUUGUUUGCUAAAGUGCGACGGUAUAGCACGCUAAAGUGCGAUGGAACAAAAGAGAAAGGUUCAAGGGAACUAAUGUUAAAAACAAGUCUUUUUUCAAAAUCUAGUCUGCUAUGAUAUAACAUAUAAUGCGAUAGGCUUUUACUUUACAGGUAGUCUUAUGUGACUGUUUCUAAAUUAAGAAGACGAAUUUUGUAUUUGCAACUG